This 557-nucleotide ribosomal RNA is filed under the name uncultured bacterium. Its description in RNAcentral is "bacterial SSU rRNA". It matches the Rfam family "Bacterial small subunit ribosomal RNA", at positions 102 to 694 of the family's 1533-position model. The record is from RNAcentral.
ACGGGUGAGUAACGCGUGGGAACGUACCCUUUACUACGGAAUAACGCAGGGAAACUUGUGCUAAUACCGUAUGUGCCCUUCGGGGGAAAGAUUUAUCGGUAAAGGAUCCGCCCGCGUUGGAUUAUCUAGUUGGUGGGGUAAAGGCCUACCAAGGCGACUAUCCAUAGCUGGUCUGAGAGGAUGAUCAGCCACAUUGGGACUGAGACACGGCCCAAACUCCUACGGGAGGCAGCAGUGGGGAAUAUUGGACAAUGGGCGCAAGCCUGAUCCAGCCAUGCCGCGUGAGUGAUGAAGGCCCUAGGGUUGUAAAGCUCUUUCACCGGAGAAGAUAAUGACAGUAUCCGGAGAAGAAGCCCCGGCUAACUUCGUGCCAGCAGCCGCGGUAAUACCAAGGGGGCUAGCGUUGUUCGGAAUUACUGGGCGUAAAGCGCACGUAGGCGGACCUUUAAGUCAGGGGUGAAAUCCCAGAGCUCAACUCUGGAACUGCCUUUGAUACUGGGUGUCUUGAGUAUGGAAGAGGUGAGUGGAAUUCCGAGUGUAGAGGUGAAAUUCGUAGA